UUCUUGGGCUGUCCACUCCCAUCAAGCUUGACUCCUGCAACUUGAGUGAGGGCAUCAUGAGCAGUGAGACCAGCAAUAGGUAAGGCUGCAGCUUCAGCAGCCAACACUUCGGAUGGUCUGGCAGCGGUUAAGCUCUCACUAGCCACAGCAAACUCAGCAAAUCCACCUCCAUACUGCCAUUCAGCAUAAACAACACAUACAAUGGUUAUCAGAUAGUUAACUGAGUAAAUCAUAAAUAAUAACAUGCCAGUUAGGUUCUGUCUAAUCUUGGAACAUGAUUGUGUUGUUGUCAUAUCAGUUGGUGCUCGAGAUUUAGCUGCAGAAACAGCCCUUCCAUUGACAGGGGGCUCCAUACAUAAGAGCAUAAGACCCUCCCCCAAAGCCCACAAUGGCAGGAGCCUGGAGCAUACUGCCCAAGUAAUUGACUAAAUCUAAUGCACACUCAAGUAAAGCAUAUGGUUGUCCUUUGGUAGUUAUAAAUUUAUUACCGAUAGAGGGUAUGAAAUCAAUAUCUAUGACAAAUAUUCCUUGGUUUUUCAGAUCACCAAAGAGUAAGGAGAAUUCCAAUUCAACCCUUUGAUUGAAAACUGAAUUUGUGCUGCAAUUUGCAUUUGAAAGAUGAUUUUAUUCUUCCUCUAUUUAAAAAGUUUUGCUUCUUGUCCACAAUAAUCUAGAUUUAGCCAAGGUUAGAAUUGUACCCCCAACCCAAAGGUAGUCAAACAUCAUUUUAAGUUGAAAAACAGUAGGAAAGGGAAAGAAGAAGAAGAAUAAAAGUACUUGAUGAGUGAGUUUAGCAACAACUUUGUCACCAACUUUAAAAUCUUUGACUUGUGGUCCAACCUCUACUACCUCUCCUGCAACAUCAGUGCCUGUUCCAGAAAUGGUUAUAUUAUUAUAAAGCAAGAGGAUGGGAUGUAAUUAUAACAUAAAUCAAUUGGAAUUGGAAUUGGAAUUGGAAUUGGAAUUGAGGGAUUAACUUACAAGGAAUAUGGGGAAACUGACGAGGUAAGAAUAAAGGGCGCAGAAGACCUUUCUGAAUCUUCCAAUCAACGGGGUUAAUGGUAAUUGCAUCCAAUUUCAGCAAAACCUCAUUUUUAUUUGGACUGGGAACAGGAACUUCAACAUGCUGCUUAUAUAAGAUCAAAAUUAACUAUUUUCAAUCAAAGCAAGUAACAUCUAAAUCAUAUUAUAAAAGAUUAAAAUAAGAUCCGCUUGUCUUGAUUCUGAAUUAUGUUGCAAAGAAGGAAGAAGCAAUAACCUAAAAUCCUAUUUAUUUAUGUUGUAGAAUUGUGAGUUGAGAAAGAAUGAAAGAGAAUAAUAAUAAAGAAAUAAAAAGGAGAGUGAAACCUUCAAGGAUGCGGAACCACCACCGUAGGAAUCGUAGUGAAGAGCUUGCAUCAACUUCCUCGACAUAUCUGAUGAUAUGAUAUCAAUCGUUUCAACACUUCCUCCUCAAUCUCUUAUAUAUAUAGUAUAGACACAUGGAGUCAGAAUAAUAAAUAUUAAUUUUCAUUUCUUACUUUAACAAUCAAGAUAAAUAAAUGACUUUUUCCCACUAUAUUUGGUAAAUGCGAUGCAAAUUAUGUAUAUAUUAUUUACGAAAUUAAUUUUACUUCCAUGCUACUAUCAAAUAAAUAUUAUCAUAAAAUAUUUAAAAAAAUGAGUAUAAAAAAGUGUUCAAGCUCCCUAUUGUGAACUUUGGUAAUAACAAUGAAGUGGCUGAAUUGUAAUGCUUCCAUUGCAAGUGCUCCCUCCCGCUUAAGCGUCCUUAGUAGAGAGCAUUUUGGAUCUCUUGCGUCCAUACAAGAUUACACAAUAGAAGGAUUUUCUCCAUCUUAGGGUUGUUUCAUAUGCCUGACUUCUAUAGUCAUAAAUUACCAAUGUACAUAAACAGAAUCAAAAACAAAUUUACAAUCCUCUCUAUGUUUUGUUUCACCUUUGCUGCUUUGAAAAUCAUUAUAAUUUUGAAAGAUUAAAAAAUCAAUGAACGUAAUUUGUAAUAAAACUUACUGAUACCAUUUGACACAGACAGUCAAACCUAAUAAUGGAAUUAAGUAGCUAUCCUUGGCAGGUAUAAUUGGAGCUCCUUCUUAUAAGCCUUUCCCAUAAUCUCAUAUUUCUCAUUACUAUUGAAGACAAAUUCCUUUUUGUAGGAGUUGGAUUCACGCCGGAUAUUGUUCACAAGAUACUUUUAAAAGAUCCUUUUGAUCAAGUGAAUUUAUACCAAAUCCUUACAUAUAAAAGUCAAUGAAAUUGGGAUGAUGUAGUGAUGCCAUAUAAAAUUCUUGUCAAGUGCAUACAUCCCUUUCUCUUGAAUUUUUAUUCAAAAAUUGAUAUUUGUUAUUAUGUGAUGCAAAAACUGAAGAUGAAGUAAUAGAAAUUUUAUUGUUGUUGGUGAGAAUAUAGUUUGUGUAAUUUUUAGCAGUGGAGUUAAACGAGCAGGUAUUGUUGUUCCUUGAGACAGAUAUUCAACUAAAGUAUAUAAUGCGAAAUAGAUAUUGAAAUCUUAACGUUAAGAGUUUAUUGGCUUGGCUGAAAUUGGUGCACGUGGGGUGAGCCACAAGUAAGAGAGAAUGAUGUGAUGUAGCUAAUUAAUUAAAGCUAUAUGUAAGUAUGUCUUUUAUUUUUAUGGUUCAUUUGGUGUUACUUGCAAGCAACCUCAAUACAACUAGGUUAUUAAAAUGUGGUGUUGGAACAAUAACAUUCACAUAUGCGUGGUUUGGUGCUGCAAUGCAGUAGUUCACAGAACUUCACACUAGGAGAUUGAGAGUGGUAAGGAUUUGGUGUGUGAAUAUGGAUGGAGGGUCAGGAGACUUGUUCCCAACUCAUGAAAUUAGGAAUCUGAGCAAAUUCAAGCCCGAGCAUCCCACCUCCCGAGAAAGUGUACUAUAAUCUACAUACAUAGCAUGUGGUAACAGAUGAUAAUUCACCAUUUCUAACCGUUGAUUUUCUUUUCUGAAAUUAGACUUCUCACCUUGAAUUUCACUUUCUUCUCAAGUUCUUAACCCCUUUCUAGAAAACAAAACUUGGUAGGAGACAAGACAAGUAAUCCAAUACAGCAUCCUUAUGUUAUCAUUUACAAACCAUCAAGAGAAUAUCAACAAACAUGUACUUCAAUCCUUUCAGCAUAUGAUAUGCCUACUUAUUCAUUUAUAUAUGAGCUUACAGAAAACAUUGCACAAUAAGAUAGGAAUACAGCAAACCAAGCAAACUGUGAUUACGGUUCCACAAUGAUUUUUCCAGUAGCAUGGCCGUCAAUGCUCUUAGCCCAAGCAUCUUCAGCUUUGCUCAAAGGAAACUUAGAGUCAAUAACAGUCUUCAGCUUCCCAUCCUUCACUAACUGAACUAGAUAUUCCAGGCCCUCACGCUUGACUGUUACGAAAAAUGGCACCAGCUGCUUCUUUGAAAAGGUAAGUUUCUUCAGGGCGAAAGUCGUCAAUGAACUCAGACUAGGCGUCAAAUCAACUACCUUUCCAUUUUCAGUCAAAUUAGGGUCAAAAGUUGACCAUGGUAUUCCGGUUGUACAAUGUAUCACUGCAUCGUAUUUCCUACCAGAUGGACUUGUUAGAGCUGCUCCCUCUGGAGUCCUGUAGUCAAGAACCUCAUCAGCACCUAAACUCUUAACAAAGUCAAUGUUGCGAGCCCCGCAAGUGGCUGUCACAUGUGUGUUCCCGAGUUUUGCUAGUUGAACAGCAUAGUGACCGACACCGCCUGAUGCAGCAGUUAUUAAAAUGUUCUUGGGCUGUCCACUCCCAUCAAGCUUGACUCCUGCAACUUGAGUGAGGGCAUCAUGAGCAGUGAGACCAGCAAUAGGUAAGGCUGCAGCUUCAGCAGCCAACACUUCGGAUGGUCUGGCAGCGGUUAAGCUCUCACUAGCCACAGCAAACUCAGCAAAUCCACCUCCAUACUGCCAUUCAGCAUAAACAACACAUACAAUGGUUAUCAGAUAGUUAACUGAGUAAAUCAUAAAUAAUAACAUGCCAGUUAGGUUCUGUCUAAUCUUGGAACAUGAUUGUGUUGUUGUCAUAUCAGUUGGUGCUCGAGAUUUAGCUGCAGAAACAGCCCUUCCAUUGACAGGGGGCUCCAUACAUAAGAGCAUAAGACCCUCCCCCAAAGCCCACAAUGGCAGGAGCCUGGAGCAUACUGCCCAAGUAAUUGACUAAAUCUAAUGCACACUCAAGUAAAGCAUAUGGUUGUCCUUUGGUAGUUAUAAAUUUAUUACCGAUAGAGGGUAUGAAAUCAAUAUCUAUGACAAAUAUUCCUUGGUUUUUCAGAUCACCAAAGAGUAAGGAGAAUUCCAAUUCAACCCUUUGAUUGAAAACUGAAUUUGUGCUGCAAUUUGCAUUUGAAAGAUGAUUUUAUUCUUCCUCUAUUUAAAAAGUUUUGCUUCUUGUCCACAAUAAUCUAGAUUUAGCCAAGGUUAGAAUUGUACCCCCAACCCAAAGGUAGUCAAACAUCAUUUUAAGUUGAAAAACAG
This 4477-nucleotide long non-coding RNA is filed under the name Lupinus angustifolius (narrow-leaved blue lupine). RNAcentral's name for it is "long non-coding RNA (LANG_LNC001162)". The record is from RNAcentral. Lineage: Eukaryota; Viridiplantae; Streptophyta; Magnoliopsida; Fabales; Fabaceae.